AAGUCGUAACAAGGUUUCCGUAGGUGAACCUGCGGAAGGAUCAUUACUGAAGAUCAUAGAGCUUGAGACUGCGUUCAAACAAGCGUGUGCUCGGCUCUUAUUUCUUUAUCCACACACACCUUUUGUGCACUAUGGGGACCGUAAAACAGUCCCCCUUUUCAUAUAAAAACCAGGUUAUAAUGCAUGGCUGUAUAAAUACUCUACGGAGUAAAAAAUACAACUUUCAACAACGGAUCUCUUGGCUUUC
This 247-nucleotide unclassified non-coding RNA is filed under the name fungal sp. RNAcentral's name for it is "partial internal transcribed spacer region". The stretch from base 1 to 46 matches the Rfam family "Eukaryotic small subunit ribosomal RNA", at positions 1786 to 1831 of the family's 1831-position model. The record is from RNAcentral. Lineage: Eukaryota; Fungi.